Non-coding RNA from Pelobates cultripes (western spadefoot toad), 1844 nucleotides. NCBI's taxonomy places the organism in Eukaryota, Metazoa, Chordata, Amphibia, Anura, Pelobatidae. The record is from the annotation of a GenBank genome assembly.
CUUAACAACGUUACAGAGAGAUCUUAAGUAGUGGUCUUUGUAUCAGCAAGUCAGGGACACACCAGGAGAGGAGAGCGGAUCGUAGGACAAAAAGAGAGCGUGAUCAUUUGUCCUCAGUUCUUUAUAGGCAAAAUUACAUCAUAACUUUUCAUUUAGAUUCUCCCCAUAUAAGAACCCUACCCCCAAUCUCCCUACACAGCACAUUCCCGAGUCCUCAUGGUACAGAAUAGCAAACAUCAUCUGUUCUUUUUAACCCAUUAGACAUCCACACCAUAAUAUGUAUUUGAAUAGGAACACAAUAGAAUAAGUAAUAUUCUGCAUUUCCCUCUGUGUAUGGUUUAUCUAUAAACCAUAACAAAAUGUUAUUUACCUGUCCAUUCAUUUAUUAUUGGUAUCACAUUCAUAUCACAGUCAUUAGGUAUAAGAGGGUUAGGAGUAGGGUUAGGGUCAGGAUUAGGGUAGGGCUUCCACUAUCACUGUAGGUAGGAAUGUCUAAAUAGAAAACAAACAUUUCACCUCAAUAACCUUGGACGUUGUAUGUGACAUACUACCCAAAAACUUUCCUUCCCUUUUCCAUGUCAUUACAGACUCAGGGAUAAAAUUAUAUGUGUACUACAAGUUAAUCUAAGUCUUUGUUUCCUUCCUGGAUAUUUACAAGAGUAGGCUUCACCAUAAUAUCUGACAUAACAUAAUCAGUUACCAGAAACAUCAUGUUAACUCUUACUGUCAACUAUUUCCUAGAUGCUCGUAUUUCCAAUAUCCAAGGUAUGCCUGGAGUAUUAUUUUUCAAGAGGAAUUCUGGCUCUAAAUGUAUAAGCCAAUAUUGAAUAGUAUAAAGUAUCUCACCACCUUGUCCUCGUGUUGAUACUGAAAUUUGUGCAACAUUCACAUACAUAUCACUUGACCAAUUUACCAUUUCUUCUCCAUUAACAAUCAUGAUAUAUGCGUUUUGAUAUAGUUCCCAUGAUCCCGUUUUUACAUUAUCUUGUACAAAUGAACCUUUGGUCCAACUAAAUAAAUCAUUAGGACCUAUUGUAAUGUUUAAAUUAAUAACAUUGUAAUGUUUAAAUUCAUGUGAACUUAAUUCGCACAUUGCAUACUUGUAGAUAGCCAUCUUUUGUCCCAAAACAAAUAUGACCUUUUAAUACUUAUUCAUUGUCUCUCUUUUUUCUAAUAUUUCCCAAUAAGUCAUUCUUUAAUUCCUGAUUAAAAAUCAUUUUGUUCAUCUUAAAUAUAUCUACUUCAAGAACUGUAGUCAUCAAUGUUAGCAGGAUGCUGAUGAAUAACUUCUUUUUGCUACACGGUUGUCUUUGUGAACACAUUGUCUGUCACCGGCCAACGUUCCUCUGUAGGUCUGCUUACAAAUGAUCUAAUAUAAAACCAAGAAAAACAAAGCAGUAUCAAUAUAUUAUCAAAUUAUGUUGUAGGUUUAUACAAUUUUCACUGAUCUGCAUGAACCCAAAAACUAUUUUGCCUCCGUUUAUUCCGUGAACCAUCAAGAGGUCUUUGCACUUAUCCCAUUGUUUGUCCCAUUGUAUCUGUUAUUUUGUAAGGACCUUCUCAGUUGAAUCUUUCUGUGGGGUAGACAAAUAUGGUUCAUUAGGAAAAUUCAACUGCAUUUUCCUGCCUGUCAUUAAUUCAAAUGGAGUGUAUUGUGUAGCUGAAGACAUAGUGCCUCAAAUACCCAUGUGUUGCCUUUCUCAAGUAACAUUUUUGAAAGUCUAGAUUUCAAUGUUCGAUUCAUACGUUACACAAUCCCAGCAGAUUGUGGGUGAUAUGGAACAUGGAAUCUUUGCUCUAUGCGUAGAAUAGCACACAGUGCUGUCUGACUCUAGAAGUCUAGG